UGCUAAUACCGGAUAACAACACUAGACGCAUGUCUAGAGUUUAAAAGAAUGGUUCUGCUAUCACUCUUGGAUGGACCUGCGGUGCAUUAGCUAGUUGGUAAGGUAACGGCUUACCAAGGCAAUGAUGCAUAGCCGAGUUGAGAGACUGAUCGGCCACAUUGGGACUGAGACACGGUCCAAACUCCUACGGGAGGCAGCAGAG
RNAcentral lists this ribosomal RNA (202 nucleotides) under uncultured bacterium. RNAcentral describes it as "partial 16S ribosomal RNA". It matches the Rfam family "Bacterial small subunit ribosomal RNA", at positions 161 to 354 of the family's 1533-position model. The record is from RNAcentral.